RNAcentral lists this ribosomal RNA (515 nucleotides) under Beauveria bassiana. RNAcentral describes it as "eukaryotic LSU rRNA". The stretch from base 177 to 328 matches the Rfam family "5.8S ribosomal RNA". The record is from RNAcentral. Lineage: Eukaryota; Fungi; Ascomycota; Sordariomycetes; Hypocreales; Cordycipitaceae.
CGGAGGGAUCAUUACCGAGUUUUCAACUCCCAAACCCUUAUGUGAACCUACCUAUCGUUGCUUCGGCGGACUCGCCCCAGCCGGACGCGGACUGGACCAGCGGCCGCCGGGGACCAUCAAACUCUUGUAUUAUCAGCAUCUUCUGAAUACGCCGCAAGGCAAAACAAAUAAAUUAAAACUUUCAACAACGGAUCUCUUGGCUCUGGCAUCGAUGAAGAACGCAGCGAAAUGCGAUAAGUAAUGUGAAUUGCAGAAUCCAGUGAAUCAUCGAAUCUUUGAACGCACAUUGCGCCCGCCAGAUUCUGGCGGGCAUGCCUGUUCGACGUCAUUUCAACCCUCGACCUCCCUUUGGGGAAGUCGGCGUUGGGGACCGGCAGCACACCGCCGGCCCUGAAAUGGAGUGGCGGCCCGUCCGCGGCGACCUCUGCGUAGUAAACCAACUCGCACCGGAACCCCGACGUGGCCACGCCGUAAAACACCCAACUUCUGAACGUUGACCUCGAAUCAGGUAGGAC